UACGGAGGAGGCAAGAGUUAUCCGGUGUUAUGGGGCGUAAAGCGUCCGUAGGUGGUUGGCCAAGUCUGCUGUCAAAGGGUGGGGCUUAACCUCAUAAAGGCAGUGGAAACUGGCGAGCUAGAGUGCGGUAGGGGUAGGGGGAAUACCCAGUGUAGCGGUGAAAUGCGUAGAGAUUGGGAAGAACAUCGGUGGCGAAAGCGCCCUGCUGGGCCUGCACUGACACUGAGGGACGAGAGCUAGUGGAGCGAAAGGG
RNAcentral lists this ribosomal RNA (253 nucleotides) under uncultured bacterium. RNAcentral describes it as "partial 16S ribosomal RNA". It matches the Rfam family "Bacterial small subunit ribosomal RNA", at positions 524 to 776 of the family's 1533-position model. The record is from RNAcentral.